CCCUCCCUCUGGCGGCAUGCCUAACACAUGCAAGUCGAACGAGACCUUCGGGUCUAGUGGCGCACGGGUGCGUAACGCGUGGGAACCUGCCCUUAGGUUCGGAAUAACUCCCCGAAAGGGGUGCUAAUACCUGAUAAUGUCUUCGGACCAAAGAUUUAUCGCCUUUGGAUGGGCCCGCGUUGGAUUAGCUAGUUGGUAGGGUAACAGACUACCAAGGCGACGAUCCAUAGCUGGUCUGAGAGGAUGAUCAGCCACACUGGGACUGAGACACGGCCCAGACUCCUACGGGAGGCAGCAGUAGGGAAUAUUGGACAAUGGGCGAAAGCCUGAUACAGCAAUGCCGCGUGAGUGAUGAAGGCAUUAGGGUUGUAAAGCUCUUUUACCCGGGAUGAUAAUGACAGUACCGGGAGAAUAAGCUCCGGCUAACUCCGUG
RNAcentral lists this ribosomal RNA (433 nucleotides) under uncultured bacterium. RNAcentral describes it as "partial 16S ribosomal RNA". It matches the Rfam family "Bacterial small subunit ribosomal RNA", at positions 36 to 507 of the family's 1533-position model. The record is from RNAcentral.